UUGACCCUUCUGGGAUUUUUGAUUGUGAACAUUUUCACAGUUUGUAAAGCACGUAGCUGAAUCGCUUUUCCGAAGAGCUGUGCCAGUCUCUACUCCAAUCAGCAAUAGAACAGCCCAAAUGGACCAAGACGGCUGAAUUAAAACUUGUGUCUUAUCGUUGCUGCUAACCUUGGUAAGGAAGAUGUCCUGGAGAAACCAGAGCACUUCUUCGCAGAGCUAAACACACACAGCUGGCCCAGGAAUCAGAUUUUUCUGAAGGAGGAUCCAGGAGCAGGUGGAGCGGUUGCAGACCUGGCCCAUCACUGCUUCACGCCAACACGCUAACUCAUGGGCUCCUGCGAGAUACGAAUUGUGUUUUAGUGGAAGAGUGCUCGCUCACAGAAGAAAUCAUGAGAGGUAGCUUCCCUGGAUUGGCACUUACGUCUGCAGCCCACUAAUAUCAAGUAAACAGCUGAAGCCAAGAUCAAGAAUUGUCAUUAUCCACCAUGUGAAAUAUUAA
Microcebus murinus (gray mouse lemur) is the source of this 499-nucleotide non-coding RNA. Lineage: Eukaryota; Metazoa; Chordata; Mammalia; Primates; Cheirogaleidae. The record is from RefSeq and is a predicted model, not a curated record.